This is a long non-coding RNA of Hevea brasiliensis (rubber tree), 2375 nucleotides long. RefSeq lists it as uncharacterized. The record is from RefSeq and is a predicted model, not a curated record. NCBI's taxonomy places the organism in Eukaryota, Viridiplantae, Streptophyta, Magnoliopsida, Malpighiales, Euphorbiaceae. The transcript has 2 exons.
CAUGAACUCCAAACCCAUCUCAACUCAAAUUACAAAAUAUUUGCUAGUAAUAUUCGUCUCCCGUUGGGUUAUCCUUUGAUUCAUGUUCUCAUCUAUGGUCUGUUACUUCUGGGUUUAUGGUUCUACUUGGUAAUACGAGUAGCAGUCAACCCAUGUGAAGACCUAUGUCUAUUAGUAGGCAGAGAUUUGCAAAACUUAAAAAGGCUGGCUGAAGAUGCAAUCCAAAGGCUAUUUGGCAGGCAGGAGUGAGUCACCAAAUCAUUUGUCUAGUUAAGUUUAUCAUUUUAGUAAAUGUGAUGUAUCUUUACAAUUUUAGAUAUCUCAAUAACAUGUAUAAUUUUAGCAAUAAUUUUAAAGGUUUAAAUGUGAUAGUUUAGACCAUAUUAAUGUAUCUAAGUUGUAUAAUUAAUUUUUGAGUUGUAGAAUUUUGUUCAUUGAAAUUUUGAAAUUUAUUUAUGUGUUUCAUGAUUGAACAUGUUAGAAUAUUUUUUUAUUGCCUUGUUAAAUCGCCCACUCCCAUUUGUAAUUUUUGAUGCAAAGAGAGGUUUUGAUUUGUGUUAUUUGUAGAGGAAGAGAUAGGGAGAGGGAGAGAAUUGUUUUUUAUUAAUUUUUUUAACAGCAUUAAGUUCAAUUUUGAAAUAUUUUAUUACAGUAUCUGAGAUGUAGAAAUAAUACAAAUACUCAUCUGUCUCAUCACAGCAAAAUACCCAUCUCCUUCCUAGUGUGUGUUUGAGAUCAGCAUUGGCUAUUGAUUCCAUACUCAAAGCUUGUAAAUCAAAUUGUGUUGAUCUUAGUUCCAAGUUUCAGAUGGUUUCUUCUAGGCUUAGGACCUCACAUUUAAAUGGUACUUGGAACUCAUAUCAAGAUCUUUACCAUUUGCUACUCCAAGCAUUUGAUGAGUUGAAGAGGCUUUCAAGAAAUUUAUUUCAAGCACUAAGGAGGAUGCCAAUUGGAGGUGGGGAAAACAACAUAAUGCAGGAACCAAAUCAUCAAUUUUCGUCAUCUGUUAAAUAUUGUUUAGUCUUAGUUAUUGCUUAUUCAUUUAUGUUAUGUAAGUGACCUUGUUCAUAUUGCUUACUGCUACUCUGAACAAAUUGGUAAUUAAUUUCUUUGUAUUUCUUGCCCAGCACUGUCCAUGGAUUCAACAAAGUUAAGCUUCUUGUGGUAACUUAAAGCUAGCUUGUUAUCAGUUCAGCUAUCUGGGGAAAUGAAGAUGUUGGUGGUCACUCUAAUCAACUAUGCAAUAGCAAUGGCAAUUGAACAUGAACUCCAAACAUAUCCCAACUCAAAUUACAAAACAUGUGCUAGAAAUAUUCGUCUCCUAUUGGGUUAUAUGGCAAUUGUGCUACUUGCCUUGGUUCAUGUUCUCCUCUAUGUUGUGUUACUUAUGAGUUUGUGGGUCUACUUGCUUACACAAGUAGGACGCCACCCAUAUCAAGACUUAUAUCUAUUAGUAGGCGAAGAUUUGCAACACUUAAAGGAGUUAGCUGAAGAUGCAAUCCAAAGGCUAUUUGGCAGGCAGGAGUGAGCCACCGAAUCAAUUGUCUAGUUAAGUGUGUUAUUCUAGUAAACCUGAUUUGUCUUUACAAUUUUAGAUCUCUCUAUAAAAUGUUUGAUUUUAGCAAUCAUUUUAAUGAUUUAAAUGUGAUAGUUUAGUCCAUAUUAAUGUAUCUGAGUUGUAGAAAUAAUACAUAGUUGUAGAAUUUUGAAAGGGUCUUCUUUUGAAAUUUAUAUUUGUUUAUGUUAGAAUAUUUGUUUAUUGCAUUGUUAAAUCUCCCUCUCUCAUUUGUAAUUUAUGUGUUGUUUGUAGAGGAAGAGAUGGGGAGACGGAGAGAAUUUUUUAUUAAAAUUUUCUUUUAACAGGAUUAAGUCCAAUUUAAAAAAUUUUAUUACAGUGUUUGAGUUGUAGAAAUAAUACAAAUACUCAUCUCUCUCAUCAUAGCAAAAUACCCAUCUCAUUCCCAGGAUGCUUUUGAGAUUAGCAUUGGCUAUUGAAUCUAUACUCAAAGCUUGUAAAUCAAAUUGUGUUGAUCUUAGUUGCAAGCUUUAGAUGGCUUCUUUUAGGUUCAGGACCUUCAUAUUUAAAUGGGAAGCUUGGAACUCAUAUCAAGAUCUUUACCGUUUGCUACUCCAAGCAUUUGAUGAGUUGAAGAGGCUUUCAAGAAAUGCUUUUCAAGCACUAAGGAGGAGGCCAAUUGGAGGUGGGGAAAACAACAUAAUGCAGGAACCAAAUCAUCAAUCUUCUUCAUCUGUCAAAUAUUGUUUAGUCUUAAUUAUUGCUUUUUCAUUUAUGUUACGCAAAUGACCUUGUUCAUAUUGCUUACUGCUACUCUGAACAAAUUGGUGAUUAAUUUCUUUGUAUUUAUUGCCCAGCA